AACCAUCUAUGUAGAAAGAGUCCUCAAGGGAUAAAUGAAGUGGGAAAAUGGUGCAGUGGUUUAAGCUUGCAGCUAUCUUAAAAUUUUUUAAAGAGAACUACUGUCCUUUUGCAAUCAUUUGUUGGAAGUUAAAUGAGUUUCUGAUUUCUGGCUCCUAUUCUUUCCCUUUUUCUUUUCUUCAUUUCUAUUCUUUCUUUCUUUUCUUUAUAU
This 210-nucleotide unclassified non-coding RNA is filed under the name Hevea brasiliensis (rubber tree). The record is from RNAcentral. Lineage: Eukaryota; Viridiplantae; Streptophyta; Magnoliopsida; Malpighiales; Euphorbiaceae.